GCUUACGGCCAUUUCGCUCUGAGAAUGCCUGAUCUCGUCUGAUCUCGGAAGCUAAGCAGAGUCGGGCCUGGUUAGUACUUGGAUAGGAGACUGCCUGGGAAUACCAGGUGCUGUAAGCU
Molecule: ribosomal RNA, 119 nt
Organism: Tachysurus fulvidraco (yellow catfish)
Lineage: Eukaryota; Metazoa; Chordata; Actinopteri; Siluriformes; Bagridae
Source: RefSeq, a predicted model, not a curated record